UACAGAGGGUGCAAGCGUUAAUCGGAAUUACUGGGCGUAAAGCGUGCGUAGACGGUUUCGUAAGUCGGGUGUGAAAGCCCCGGGCUCAACCUGGGAAUUGCAUUCGAGACUGCAAAGCUAGGGUGCGGAAGAGGGAAGCGGAAUUUCUGGUGUAGCGGUGAAAUGCGUAGAUAUCAGAAGGAACAUCAGUGGCGAAAGCGGCUUCCUGGUCCAGCGCCGACGUUCAAGCACGAAAGCGUGGGGAGCAAACAGG
Molecule: ribosomal RNA, 253 nt
Filed under: uncultured bacterium
Lineage: Bacteria
Description: partial 16S ribosomal RNA
Rfam family: Bacterial small subunit ribosomal RNA
Source: RNAcentral